RNAcentral lists this ribosomal RNA (501 nucleotides) under Paenibacillaceae bacterium CL7.36. RNAcentral's name for it is "bacterial SSU rRNA". It matches the Rfam family "Bacterial small subunit ribosomal RNA", at positions 13 to 500 of the family's 1533-position model. The record is from RNAcentral. Lineage: Bacteria; Bacillati; Bacillota; Bacilli; Caryophanales; Paenibacillaceae.
UUGAUCCCUGGCUCAGGACGAACGCUGGCGGCGUGCCUAAUACAUGCAAGUCGAGCGGAUCUAUUCCUUCGGGAAUAGGUUAGCGGCGGACGGGUGAGUAACACGUAGGCAACCUGCCUGUAAGAUCGGGAUAACUCACGGAAACGUGUGCUAAUACCGGAUAGGUAAUUUUCUCGCAUGAGAGAAUUAAGAAAGGCGGAGCAAUCUGCUACUUACAGAUGGGCCUGCGGCGCAUUAGCUAGUUGGUGAGGUAAUGGCUCACCAAGGCGACGAUGCGUAGCCGACCUGAGAGGGUGAACGGCCACACUGGGACUGAGACACGGCCCAGACUCCUACGGGAGGCAGCAGUAGGGAAUCUUCCGCAAUGGACGAAAGUCUGACGGAGCAACGCCGCGUGAGUGAUGAAGGUUCUCGGAUCGUAAAGCUCUGUUGCCAAGGAAGAACAGCUAGGAGAGUAACUGCUCUUAGAUUGACGGUACUUGAGAAGAAAGCCCCGGCUAA